This 465-nucleotide ribosomal RNA is filed under the name uncultured bacterium. Its description in RNAcentral is "partial 16S ribosomal RNA". It matches the Rfam family "Bacterial small subunit ribosomal RNA", at positions 338 to 795 of the family's 1533-position model. The record is from RNAcentral.
CCUACGGGAGGCAGCAGUGGGGAAUAUUGCGCAAUGGGCGAAAGCCUGACGCAGCGACGUCGCGUGAGGGAUGAAGGUCUUCUGAUCGUAAACCUCUGUCAGCAGGGAAGAACGGUCACUGUGCUAAUCAGCAGUGCAUUGACGGUACCUGCAAAGGAAGCACCGGCUAACGCCGUGCCAGCAGCCGCGGUAAUACGGCGGGUGCGAGCGUUAAUCGGAAUUACUGGGCGUAAAGCGCUCGUAGGCGGUAUGUCAAGUCAAGGGUGAAAUCCCCGCGCUCAACGUGGGAAGUGCCUUUGAAACUGGCAAACUGGAGUGUGAGGGAGGAUAGUGGAAUUCCAGGUGUAGGAGUGAAAUCCGUAGAUAUCUGGAGGAACAUCGAUGGCGAAGGCGACUAGCUGGAACGUAACUGACGCUGAGGAGCGAAAGCGUGGGUAGCAAACAGGAUUAGAUACCCCUGUAGUC